RNAcentral lists this long non-coding RNA (593 nucleotides) under Androctonus crassicauda. The record is from RNAcentral. Lineage: Eukaryota; Metazoa; Arthropoda; Arachnida; Scorpiones; Buthidae.
ACCCAUUGCACUACCUAGCAAAGUAGACAAGAAGAGUUAGAAACCAUAAUUAAGCAAGCAGUUAACCAUGGAUAUACACGUAAAGAAAUAUUGAAAUUGUGGCAAAGUGUAAAUAACAGAAAAGACAAAAAAAAAGAAAAAUGGAAGGCAAAAAGAGAUGGACCCCAUACACGAUAGUGUCUAACCCAAUUGUUCUUAAAUAAAGAAAAUGUUGCAAAGAGCGACGGGGAGAAGUAUACAGUUUUCAAGGAGAAAUACAGUUUUCAAUAUGACAAGGAAUGACAAAGAUCGAAGAAAUAGGUUAGAUAUCCCAGGAGUUUACCAAAUUAAAAUUGAUGACAAGGACACUAAUAGAGAAGAAAUAUAUAUAAGAUCAACAGUAAGGUCAGUAAAUAAAAGGAUACAAGAGCAUAAAGCAGAUAAAGAAAAAGAAAAAAACGACGGCUCUAGUGCAAAGGCUUAAUGCAUACAAAGUGAUACCAGAUUGACACGAAAUGCAGAACAUUAACAUAAUAACAGACCUAGAACAGAUUAGAACUGCGGAGGCAGUAGAAGUUCUGGCCAGAAGGUUAAGAGGGGAACACGUUAUAAAC